CCUACGGGAGGCAGCAGUGGGGAAUAUUGCACAAUGGGCGAAAGCCUGAUGCAGCGACGCCGCGUGAGGGAUGACGGCCUUCGGGUUGUAAACCUCUUUCGCACGGGACGAAGCGUAAGUGACGGUACCGUGAGAAGAAGCACCGGCUAACUACGUGCCAGCAGCCGCGGUAAUACGUAGGGUGCGAGCGUUGUCCGGAAUUAUUGGGCGUAAAGAGCUCGUAGGCGGUUUGUCGCGUCGACUGUGAAAACUGGGGGCUUAACUCUCAGCUUGCAGUCGAUACGGGCAGACUUGAGUUCGGUAGGGGAGACUGGAAUUCCUGGUGUAGCGGUGAAAUGCGCAGAUAUCAGGAGGAACACCGGUGGCGAAGGCGGGUCUCUGGGCCGAUACUGACGCUGAGGAGCGAAAGCGUGGGGAGCGAACAGGAUUAGAUACCCUGGUACUCCACGCUGUAAACGUUGGGCGCUAGGUGUGGGGAGCAUCCCACCUUUCCGUGAUGGCUCUAACGCAUUAAGCGCCCCGCCCUGGGAGUACGGCCGCAAGGUUAUCAUUCAUAGGAGUUGGCAGGGGCCCGUACAAACGCCGGAUCAUGUGGAUUAAUUCGUGGCUCCGCGAAAAAUCUUACCUGGGAUUGACCUACGCCACAGAGCUCUAGAUAUAAGGCAUCCAUUGUGGGUUGUGUGA
Molecule: ribosomal RNA, 684 nt
Filed under: uncultured bacterium
Lineage: Bacteria
Description: bacterial SSU rRNA
Rfam family: Bacterial small subunit ribosomal RNA
Source: RNAcentral